This 89-nucleotide transfer RNA is filed under the name Bombyx mori (domestic silkworm). It matches the Rfam family "tRNA". From Rfam's summary of the family: Transfer RNA (tRNA) molecules are approximately 80 nucleotides in length. Their secondary structure includes four short double-helical elements and three loops (D, anti-codon, and T loops). Lineage: Eukaryota; Metazoa; Arthropoda; Insecta; Lepidoptera; Bombycidae. The record is from Rfam by way of RNAcentral.
CCUUCGAUAGCUCAGUUGGUAGAGCGGUGGACUGUAGUUGUAAACGUGUGGAUAUCCAUAGGUCGCUGGUUCAAAUCCGGCUCGAAGGA